RNAcentral lists this ribosomal RNA (443 nucleotides) under uncultured bacterium. Its description in RNAcentral is "partial 16S ribosomal RNA". It matches the Rfam family "Bacterial small subunit ribosomal RNA", at positions 338 to 795 of the family's 1533-position model. The record is from RNAcentral.
CCUACGGGAGGCAGCAGUGGGGAAUAUUGGGCAAUGGGCGCAAGCCUGAACCAGCAACGCCGCGUGAAGGAAGAAGGCUUUCGGGUUGUAAACUUCUUUUCUCAGGGACGAAGCAAGUGACGGUACCUGAGGAAUAAGCCACGGCUAACUACGUGCCAGCAGCCGCGGUAAUACGGAGGUGGCAAGCGUUAUCCGGAUUUACUGGGUGUAAAGGGCGUGUAGGCGGGAAAGCAAGUCAGAUGUGAAAACCAUGGGCUCAACCUGUGGCCUGCAUUUGAAACUGGUUUUCUUGAGUACUGGAGAGGCAGACGGAAUUCGUAGUGUAGCGGUGAAAUGCGUAGAUAUGAGGAGGAACACCAGUGGCGAAGGCGGUCUGCUGGACAGCAACUGACGCUGAGGCGCGAAAGCGUGGGGAGCAAACAGGAUUAGAUACCCGAGUAGUC